Molecule: long non-coding RNA, 939 nt
Organism: Asparagus officinalis (garden asparagus)
Lineage: Eukaryota; Viridiplantae; Streptophyta; Magnoliopsida; Asparagales; Asparagaceae
Exons: 3
Source: RefSeq, a predicted model, not a curated record
UGCCAAUACAAUCUUUGGUUGCGAGAACAUUCUAUAGACUAAGCGCAUACUUCAACAAAAGGCGUGGUGAUGGCAUAGACUGGACAACACGUUACACACCAAAAAAUGAGUCCAUUUUGCAUAGAAGAAUUGAGGCAGCAAGAUCAUGUCAAAUUACCAUAUUCAACGACAACGAAUGGCAGGUACAGGAUUGUGACGGUAUCUACACCGUUAAACUAUUUGAUGUUGAUUGCACUUGCACAUGUAACAUACCACAACUCCAAAAAAUACCCUGUGCACAUGUGCUUGCGGCUUCUUCUAAUCAGCCGGGAGGUGCUAGAAUUCCCAGAAAUCGGUAUUGCUCGCCUUGGUAUUCAACAGCUCACUAUCAAAAGACAUAUAGUGAGAGUUUUCAUCCACCUGAUGAUAGUCGGUAUUGGCCUGAAUAUAAUGGACCACAUAUAGUUCCACCUCAGUACCGGAGACAAGCAGGUCGACCACGAUCUGUGCGAAUUAGGGGAACCAUGGAUCAAGGGCGAGAAGGAGUGGUCAAGCACAAAAGAUGUAGUCUUUGCAAACAACCGGGACAUACUCGACCUCGUUGUCCAUCUAGACACAAUAGAUAGCAACUAAUUGGUAAUUUAUAUCAUUUUUUUAUUUUUAUAUACUUUAAUAAAGAAACUGAAUUACUAUAUGAUUGAUUAUUGACAUGUGUAUAAUUGUAUGUGCAGGUUUGUACACCAUGGAUCCUGGGCCGGUUAGUGAUGAGGUCUUAUAUGACCAGGCUCAGCAUCGUUCACAUAUUAUAUCCUGUACAGAGAGAGGUCCGAGUAUCGUUAUGGUUGAUCAUAGCCUCAGCCAUAGCCGUUGGCGGUUAGAGGAUGAGCGUAUCAUAGCAGCUGUGGGACGGGCCGGCUUCUUGACUUGUUCAAAGCUUCGUUGGAUAAAGCUCGAUUGGCC